CCUACGGGAGACAGCAGUGAGGAAUCUUGGUCAAUGGGCGCGAGCCUGAACCAGCCAAGUAGCGUGAAGGAUGACUGCCCUACGGGUUGUAAACUUCUUUUAUAAAGGAAUAAAGUCAGGCACGUGUGCCUUUUUGUAUGUACUUUAUGAAUAAGGAUCGGCUCACUCCGUGCCAGCAGCCGCGGUAAUACGGAGGAUCCGAGCGUUAUCCGGAUUUAUUGUGUUUAAAGGGAGCGUAGAUGGGUUGUUAAGUCAGUUGUGAAAGUUUGCGGCUCAACCGUAAAAUUGCAAUUGAUACUGGCAGGCUGGAGUACAGUUGAGGUAGGCGGAAUUCGUGGUGUAGCGGUGAAAUGCUUAGAUAUCACGAAGAACUCCGAUUGCGAAGGCAGCUUACUAAACUGCAACUGACAUUGAUGCUCGAAAGUGUGGGUAUCAAACAGGAUUAGAUACCCUAGUAGUC
RNAcentral lists this ribosomal RNA (460 nucleotides) under uncultured bacterium. RNAcentral describes it as "partial 16S ribosomal RNA". It matches the Rfam family "Bacterial small subunit ribosomal RNA", at positions 338 to 795 of the family's 1533-position model. The record is from RNAcentral.